Molecule: transfer RNA, 73 nt
Filed under: Ailuropoda melanoleuca (giant panda)
Lineage: Eukaryota; Metazoa; Chordata; Mammalia; Carnivora; Ursidae
Rfam family: tRNA
About the family: Transfer RNA (tRNA) molecules are approximately 80 nucleotides in length. Their secondary structure includes four short double-helical elements and three loops (D, anti-codon, and T loops).
Source: Rfam by way of RNAcentral
GCCUGGCUGGCUCAGUCGGUAGAGCAUGUGACUCUUGAUCUUGGGAUUGUGAAUUCAAGCCCCACACUAGGUG